Long non-coding RNA from Pleuronectes platessa (European plaice), 260 nucleotides. RefSeq lists it as uncharacterized. The record is from RefSeq and is a predicted model, not a curated record. The transcript is spliced from 3 exons. NCBI's taxonomy places the organism in Eukaryota, Metazoa, Chordata, Actinopteri, Pleuronectiformes, Pleuronectidae.
GAGGAAUGGAAGCAGUGACCCUAACUUUGACCAGGGACACAAAAGCACAAACCACUGUCAGACGAUGGAUCCAGUCCUGUUUAUGGAACCAAUUGAUCCACCUAACACAACUUGGAGCUUUGUGUGAUUCAAUUCAUCAUUGCUUACCUGUCUCCCUUUGAACGUCUCUUCUGGAGCUUCUUGCCUUUGGGUCUCCGCUCGCUGCCCAAACAGUGGAUACCUUCUGGUCCCGUGACUUGCUGAGACUCCAGGCCCUUGGA